This 203-nucleotide ribosomal RNA is filed under the name Gigasporaceae sp. RNAcentral's name for it is "partial small subunit ribosomal RNA". It matches the Rfam family "Eukaryotic small subunit ribosomal RNA", at positions 580 to 786 of the family's 1831-position model. Lineage: Eukaryota; Fungi; Glomeromycota; Glomeromycetes; Diversisporales; Gigasporaceae. The record is from RNAcentral.
UAAUUCCAGCUCCAAUAGCGUAUAUUAAAGUUGUUGCAGUUAAAAAGCUCGUAGUUGAAUUUCGGGGUUCUACCGUUGGUCGGGCAAUAGUCUGUACUGGCGUGUGGAAUUUCUACCUUCUGGGGAACCAUCAUGUUAUUAAUUUAGCGUGGUGGGAAACCAGGACCUUUACCUUGAAAAAAUUAGAGUGUUUAAAGCAGGCA